This 253-nucleotide ribosomal RNA is filed under the name uncultured bacterium. RNAcentral's name for it is "partial 16S ribosomal RNA". It matches the Rfam family "Bacterial small subunit ribosomal RNA", at positions 524 to 776 of the family's 1533-position model. The record is from RNAcentral.
UACGUAGGGGGCAAGCGUUAUCCGGAUUUACUGGGUGUAAAGGGAGCGUAGACGGUUAUGCAAGUCAGAAGUGAAAGCCCAAAGCUCAACUUCGGGACUGCUUUUGAAACUGUGUAACUAGAGUGCAGGAGGGGUAAGCGGAAUUCCUAGUGAAGCGGUGAAAUGCGUAGAUAUUAGGAGGAACACCGGCGGCGAAGGCGGCUUACUGGACUGUAACUGACGUUGAGGCUCGAAAGCGUGGGGAGCAAACAGG